RNAcentral lists this transfer RNA (77 nucleotides) under Peptococcaceae bacterium. RNAcentral's name for it is "tRNA-Ile". It matches the Rfam family "tRNA". Rfam says of the family: Transfer RNA (tRNA) molecules are approximately 80 nucleotides in length. The record is from RNAcentral. Lineage: Bacteria; Bacillati; Bacillota; Clostridia; Eubacteriales; Peptococcaceae.
GGGCCCUUAGCUCAGUUGGUUAGAGCCCCCGGCCCAUAACCGGUCUGUCAUAGGUUCGAGUCCUAUAGGGCCCACCA